Molecule: ribosomal RNA, 437 nt
Filed under: uncultured bacterium
Lineage: Bacteria
Description: partial 16S ribosomal RNA
Rfam family: Bacterial small subunit ribosomal RNA
Source: RNAcentral
GAUGAACGCUGGCGGCAUGCUUUACACAUGCAAGUCGCACGGGCAGUCUUGUUUCCAGUGGCGCACGGGUGAGUAACGCGUAAGAACCUGCCCUUGGGAGGGGAACAACAGCUGCAAACGGCUGCUAAUACCCCGUCGGCUGGGCAGCGAAAGGCGGAAUCCGCCCAAGGAGGGGCUCGCGUCUGAUUAGCUAGUUGGUGAGGUGAUAGCGUACCAAGGCCGUGAUCAGUAGCUGCUCCGAGAGGAUGAUCAGCCACACCGGGGCUGAGACCACGCCCAGGCUCCGAGGGGAGGCAGAAGUGGGGAGGUAUCAGCAAUGGGCGGAGGGCUGACGGAGCAGUGCCGCGUGGAGGGAAAAGGGCUACGGGGAGGGAGCGUCUGUGCCUUGGGAAGAAAAAAUGAAGGUAGAUGCGGAAUAAGAGGAGGCCAACUCUGGG